Molecule: long non-coding RNA, 2821 nt
Filed under: Ornithorhynchus anatinus (platypus)
Lineage: Eukaryota; Metazoa; Chordata; Mammalia; Monotremata; Ornithorhynchidae
Description: lncRNA (ENSOANG00000043965.1)
Source: RNAcentral
GUGUGCGCAUGCGCACUGGGGCGGGGGCCGCGGUCAAGGGGUGUGCGCAUGCUCAUUGGGACGGGGUUGCGGUUUGGGGCGGGGCCGCGGUCAGAGGGCGGGGCUUGCCCGGAGGGCGGGGCCGCGGUCGGGGGGGGUGUGCGCAGGCUCACUGGAGGGGGCGGGGGCCGCGGUCAGGGGGGCGGGGCUUCCUCGGGGGUGGGGGUGGGGCCUAGUCGGGAGCCCCAGCAGCAGGAAGCCGGAAGCGGCGGCUGGGGCAGCUCCAUCGGCGGCAGCUGCAGGAGCUGCACGAGCUGCACGAGCCGCAGGAGCUGCAGGAGCUGCACGAGCCUGGGCAGCACGUUUAGCAGCAGCAGCAGCAGCAGCAGCAGCAGCAGCAGCAGCAGCUCGUGGAGAACCAUGGCCGGCAUUAAAGGUUCCGCUCGCCUCUCUGUCUUCCCCGUGACCCGAAGUGGCUGAAAUGAGCAAAUCGAGCCAAUCCCGGGCCCCUUCGAUCAAUCAGUGGUAUUUAUUGAGCACUUACUGUGUGCAAAGCAUUGUACUAAGUGCUUGGGAGAAGCAGCAUGGCUUAGUGGCAAGAACCCGGGCUUGGGAGUCAGAGGACAUGGGUUCUAAUCCCCGUUCCGCCACUUAAUAAUGUUGGUGUUUGUUAAGCGCUUACUAUGCGCCGAGCACCGUUCUAAACGCUGGGGUAGAUACAGGGUGAUCAGGUGGUCCCACGUGAGGCUCACAGUUAGUCCCCAUUUUACAGAUGAGGUCACUGAGGCACAGAGAAGUUAAGUGACUCGCCCACAGUCACACAGCCGACGAGUGGCAGAGCCGGGAUUCAAACUCAUGACCUCUGUCUCCCGAGCCCGUGCUCUUUCCACUGAGCCGUGCCACUUGUCUGCCGGGUGACCUCGGGCAAGUCACUUAACUUCUCAGGACCCCGGUUGCCUCAUCUGUAAAACGGGGAUUAAAAGCGUGAGCCCCACACGGGACAACCUGAUUACCCUGUACUACCCCAGUGCUUAGAAGAGUGCUCGGCACAUAGUAAGCGCUUAACGGAUAUCAUCAUUAUUAAUUAUUAUUAUAUUACAACACCUUACUUAUUACCCUAGGAAUGGUUUUGUGCCUGGGGAUUAUCCGUCACGGAUUCUCUGUGCCAUCACCUCAAUAAACCUGCUUCUGUUACUCGUGAGCCCUCCGAUGAUGAUAAUAACGAUAAUGGUGGUAUUUGUUAAGCGCUUACCAUGUGGCCGAGCACUGUUCUAAGCGCUGGGGUAGAUAGAGGGCAAUCAGGUCGUCCCACGUGAGGCUCACGGUUAAUCCCCGUUUUACAGAUGAGGUAACCGAGGCCCGGAGAAGCGAAGUGACUCGCCCACGGCCACCCAGCUGACGAGCGGCAGAGCCGGGAUUCGAACUCAUGACCUCUGACUCCCGAGCCCGGGCUCUUUCCACUGAGCCACGCUGCUUCUCUAACAUGGGACAACCCGACUACCCUGUACUUACCCCAGUGCUCAGAAGGGUGCUUGGCACAUAGUGAGCGCUUAACGGAUAUCACAGUUAUUAAUUAUUAUUACACUGCAACACGUUGCGUAUUACCCUGGGAAUAGUUUGGUUCCUGGGGAUUACCCGUCACGGAUUCUCUGUGUCAUCACCUCAAUAAGCCUGCUUCUGGUACUCAUAAAUUCCUUGCGGGCAGGGAAUGUGUCCUGUUGUUCGAUCGUACUCUCCCAAGCGCUUAGAACGGUGCUCUGCGCACAGUGAGCACCCAAUACGAUCGCCUGACUGACUAAUAAUAAUAAUAAUGUUGGUAUCUGUUAAGCGCUCACUGUGUGCCGAGCACCGUUCUAAGCGCCGGGGUGGACACAGGGGAAUCGGGUCGUCCCACGUGGGGCUCACGGUCUUAAUCCCCAUUUGCCAGAUGAGGGAACUGAGGCCCGGAGAAGCGAAGCGACUCGCCCACGGUCACACAGCCGACAAGCGGCAGAGCUGGGAUUCGAACUCCUGAGCCCGUGCUCUUUCCACUGCGCCACGCUGCUUCUCUAGACACGAUCUCUGCCCUCAGGGAGCUUAGAGUCUCCCCGGACCUCCAGAAAAGACUAGGGGGCUGGUCUCGAGGUUCAACUUGGGCGGGGCCCCAGGUCGGGACUGGAAUUUGCAUUUUUUUGAUAAGUGUAGUAGCCACCUUGAGCUCUGGUCCCAGGGAGUGCCCCGGCUUUUUUUCCCCUCAGGCGAUGCAGGCGGGGGUUCAGUCGGAACAGGGGACGGUUGUCUUUUGGGUCCAGGGAGCUCAAGAAUAUGCCGGGGAGAGAAGAUAGUCCGUAAGCUCACUGUGGGUAGGGAGUGUAUCGGCUUAUUGUAAUAUUAUCCUCUCCCAGGCGCUUAGUAUCGAGAAGCAGCAGGGCGUAGUGGAUAGAGCACGGGCCUGGGAGUCGGGAGGUCGUGGGUUCUGAUCCUGGCUCCGCCGCACAAUAAUAAUAAUAAUAAUGAUGUUGGUAUCCGUUAAGCGCUUAGUAUGUGCCGAGCACUGUUCUACGCGCCGGGGGAGAUCCAGGGUAAUCGGGCCGUCCCACGUGAGGCUCACGGUUAAUCCCCGUUUCACAGAUGAGGUGACUGAGGCACAGAGAAGCGAAGUGACCCGCCCACGGCCACACAGCUGACGAGCGGCAGAGCCGGCAUUCGAACUCGUGACCGCUGACUCCCGAGCCCGGGCCCUUUCCACCGAGCCACACGUGUCUGCUGUGUGACCUUGGGCAAAACUUCGCUUCUGUGGGCCUGUUCCCUCGAAAAUGGGGAUUAAGACCGUGAGCCCCACGGGGGGACGACCUCAUUACCU